This 574-nucleotide long non-coding RNA is filed under the name Homo sapiens (human). Its description in RNAcentral is "HSALNT0026099". Lineage: Eukaryota; Metazoa; Chordata; Mammalia; Primates; Hominidae. The record is from RNAcentral.
ACACCCAGGAGGGUGACGGGCAUGGGAGGCUGUGCCCACCCCUGCUUCCUUUUUGUCAUUGUCAGGCAGCACCCAGGGCAAUGCCACCUUCACUACAUUGGGUUCAGCUUGGAGUCUGCAGGCUUUUAGGAUCCUGAGCCUAGCAGAGCCCCAGCCAUGCUGGAUACUGUGGUAGAAAAUGUCAGAGACUUUAAGUGGUGUCCAUGGCCAUAUAGAAAAACUUUGGGACUUUGUGAGUUUGGAGAAAAUCUUCAUGACUGUUGAGAGAUGAGUGUUCUUCUGGUCGCCGUGACUCCAACAAACCACAUGCUGACGACUCGAUCUCAUUUGGGUUUAUGAAACACCAGGUUUGUGGGAUGGGCUCGGCUCACGGUUGUGUGUUUCUUAGAGAAGCCCUGUGGGAGGCAUGGCUCUUCCCUCACAGGCCUGAGCUGCAGGUACUUCCUGCUCAUGGAUCCUGCUGUGAACCUCAGAUGGUGCAUUUCAGUCCCCCGUAACACACAGGGCUUCUAACUAAGUUGUGUGGAUCGUGACUUGCUUCUUAAAUGCAAAGCCUCUUCCAUCUGCAUGGGGG